AGGGGCGUAGUUAAAUGGUAUAACGAAGGUCUCCAAAACCUUAGUCGAGGGUUCGAUUCCUUCCGCCCCUGCCA
Molecule: transfer RNA, 74 nt
Filed under: Candidatus Peregrinibacteria bacterium CG_4_9_14_0_2_um_filter_53_11
Lineage: Bacteria; Candidatus Peregrinibacteriota
Description: tRNA-Trp
Rfam family: tRNA
About the family: Transfer RNA (tRNA) molecules are approximately 80 nucleotides in length. Their secondary structure includes four short double-helical elements and three loops (D, anti-codon, and T loops).
Source: RNAcentral